Molecule: ribosomal RNA, 492 nt
Filed under: uncultured bacterium
Lineage: Bacteria
Description: partial 16S ribosomal RNA
Rfam family: Bacterial small subunit ribosomal RNA
Source: RNAcentral
AGUGAACGCUGGCGGUAGGCCUAACACAUGCAAGUCGAACGGCAGCACAGUAAGAGCUUGCUCUUACGGGUGGCGAGUGGCGGACGGGUGAGGAAUACAUCGGAAUCUACUUUUUCGUGGGGGAUAACGUAGGGAAACUUACGCUAAUACCGCAUACGACCUACGGGUGAAAGCAGGGGAUCUUCGGACCUUGCGCGAUUGAAUGAGCCGAUGUCGGAUUAGCUAGUUGGCGGGGUAAAGGCCCACCAAGGCGACGAUCCGUAGCUGGUCUGAGAGGAUGAUCAGCCACACUGGAACUGAGACACGGUCCAGACUCCUACGGGAGGCAGCAGUGGGGAAUAUUGGACAAAGGGCGCAAGCCUGAUCCAGCCAUACCGCGUGGGUGAAGAAGGCCUUCGGGUCGUAAAGCCCUUUUGUUGGGAAAGAAAAGCAGCAGGUUAAUACCCCGCUGUUCCGACGGUACCCAAAGAAUAAGCACCGGCUAACUUCGUG